This 209-nucleotide long non-coding RNA is filed under the name Pelobates cultripes (western spadefoot toad). The record is from RNAcentral. Lineage: Eukaryota; Metazoa; Chordata; Amphibia; Anura; Pelobatidae.
CCCGUCUCGUCUUUCCUCCAAGCUAUACAUGUUAAGAUCCUUUAACCUUUCCUGGUAAGUUUUAUCCUGCAAUCCAUGAACCAGUUUAGUAGCCCUUCUCUGAACUCUCUAAAGUAUCAAUAUCCUUCUGAAGAUACGGUCUCCAGUACUGCAUACAAUACUCCAAGUGAGGUCUCACCAGUGUUCUGUACAAUGGCAUGAGCACUUCC